UUUGGAAUAUUGAACCUACUUUAUAAUUAUGUUAAUCUUGCUUUAUGACUGAAUGAAGCUGACAUUGGGGAAAGACACAGCUUGUGUGUGUGCCUUCAUAGCACGCUCACAACAAUGUCACAAAGGGACUGAGGAUCAUGAGGAGCAGCAGUCUCUCCUCAUUGAAGAGGCAAGUUUCCUGUGCUUCAAGUCCCCACAGGCUAAUAAUGCUGCCUAAUCAGACAGAAGAUAAUGUGGAUGCAAGUGAUCUUAAGCAGUUUUUUGAGACCAACUAUUCUCAGAUAUAUUUUAUCUUCUAUGAAAAUUUUAUAACACUGGAAAAUAGUUUGAAAUUAAAAGGGAAUAAUAAAUCACAAAGAGAGGAGCUGGACUCUAUCCUCUUUCUUUUUGAAAAAAUACUGCAAUUUCUACCUGAACGAAUUUUCUUUCGAUGGCAUUACCAGAGUAUAGGCUCAACUUUAAAGAAGCUUCUACACACUGGAAAUUCUAUUAAGAUAAGAUGUGAAGGAAUCAGGCUGUUUCUUCUGUGGCUUCAAGCACUUCAGACAAACUGUGCAGAAGAGCAGGUGCUAAUUUUUGCUUGCCUUGUGCCUGGUUUCCCAGCGAUCAUGUCAUCCCGAGGUCCCUGUACGCUGGAGACACUCAUCAAUCCUAGCCCUAGUGUAGCGGAUGCAAAGAUAUAUCCAGAAGAAAUCACUCCACUACUGCCAGCCAUAUCAGGGGAAAAGAUUGCUGAGGACCAAACAUGCUUUUUUCUUCAAAUACUGUUGAAGUAUAUGGUUAUUCAGGCUGCAAGCUUGGAGUGGAAGAAUAAGGAGAAUCAAGAUACUGGUUUUAAAUUUCUUUUUACAUUGUUUCGAAAGUAUUAUCUUCCUCAUUUAUUUCCAUCAUUUACUAAGUUAACAAACAUCUACAAACCCAUACUUGACAUCCCCCAUUUGAGACCAAAGCCAGUGUAUAUUACUACAACUCGAGACAGUGAAAACAUUUACAGUACAAAAAUUCCAUACAUGGCAGCUCGUGUUGUUUUUAUUAAAUGGAUUGUAACUUUCUUUUUGGAAAAAAAGUAUCUAACUACAACACAAAACACUAAAAAUGGAGUUGAUGUACUACCCAAAAUUAUACAGACUGUUGGUGGUGGUGUGGGUCAAGAGAGGGCGCCGGAGCUGGAUGGUUGCGGGCCUGCAGAGCAGGACAAAAACCAUUCCAACAGCAGCACCUUAUCUGACCGAAGACUCAGCAACUCCAGCCUUUGUAGCAUUGAGGAAGAGCACCGCACUGUGUAUGAAAUGGUACAGCGGAUUCUCUUGUCAACGCGAGGUUAUGUCAACUUUGUGAACGAAGUCUUUCGCCAGGCAUUUUUGUUGCCUUCCUGUGACAUAGCUGUAACAAGGAAGGUAGUUCAAGUGUAUAGAAAGUGGAUCCUCCAGGACAAACCUGUGUUCAUGGAAGAACCAGAUAAAAAAGAAAUUGAACAAGAAGAUGCUGAAAAAUUAGGAUUUUCAGAAACUGACAACAAAGAGACUUCAUCUGAAAGUUCUCGUCAUAAGCGAUCUUCCAGUUGGGGACGAACAUACUCCUUCACGAGUGCAGUGAGCAGAGGAUGUGUGACAGAAGAGGAAAAUAAGAACGUGAAAGCUGGAGCCCAGGCUAUGCUGCAGGUAUUUUUGACAAACGCAGCAAACGUCUUUUUGCUGGAACCAUGUCCUGAAGUUCCCAUGCUCUUGAAAGAACAAGUCGAUGCUUGUAAAGCUGUUUUGAUUAUUUUUAGGCGCAUGAUAAUGGAGCUUACAAUGAAUAAAAAGACAUGGGAACAGAUGUUGCAAAUACUACUCAGGAUAACAGAAGCUGUCAUGCAGAAGCCAAAGGAUAAACAAAUAAAGGAUUUGUUUGCUCAGAGCUUGGCAGGGUUACUGUUUAGGACACUUAUGGUGGCAUGGAUCCGAGCAAACCUCUGUGUGUACAUUUCUCGAGAGCUCUGGGAUGACUUCCUUAGGGUGCUGUCCUCCCUCACGGAAUGGGAAGAACUCAUAAAUGAGUGGGCCAACAUCAUGGACUCCUUGACAGCAGUGCUUGCGAGAACUGUUUACGGAGUUGAGAUGACAAACCUACCUCUGGACAAAUUAAGUGAACAGAAGGAAAAGAAGCAGCGAGGCAAAGGCUGUGUUCUGGAUUCUCAGAAAGGAACCACUGUGGGGAGGUCCUUUUCUCUCAGCUGGCGGAGCCACCCAGAUGUGACUGAGCCGAUGCGAUCUAGGAGUGCCACCACAUCUGGGGCACCAGGAGUUGAGAAAGCAAGAAAUAUCGUUCGCCAAAAAGCAACCGCUAAGCGAAGCCAGUCUAUCAGCAACUGUGUCCACCUUUCUGAGGCUUUGCCUGCCACUAAAAGCGUCCCGCUCCUCCUUCACACCGUGAGCGCUCUCUUACCUGGUCUGUCUUACUCCUCUUGUUCUCACAGGCUGUCAGAAGUGGAAGAAUGUCAGCAGUCAGAAAAUGCACCUGCAGCUGAAUCUGGCUGCCUGGUGGUGGAGCAGCAGCACAUCACUCGGAGCAGCAGCACACCUGAUGUCACUGAGCCACUGCACUCAGAUUCUUCUCAGGGCCCAAAGGUAGAAAACUUACAGACUUUGAGUUCUUCAGAGUCCAGGCCUAUUCAAGAAAAUAAAGGACAUGCGAAGAAAGAACAUGAAGGAAUAACAAUCUUAGUUCGAAGAAGCAGCAGUCCUGCUGAAUUGGAUUUAAAAGAUGAUUUGCAGCAGACACAAGGAAAAUGUAGGGAAAGACAGAAGAGUGAAAGUAUCAGCAGUGACACAGCUCUGGGCUAUAGCAAUGAGGCAGAGCUGUCCAUGAGCCCAUGGUCAACCUGUGAGGAAGACCCAGAACUGAACACUCCCACAGAUGUUGUGACUGACUCCGAUGCCCGCCAUUGGUUACAACUGAGUCCCACCGAUGCUUCCAACUUAACAGAUAGCAGUGAGUGCCUUGCAGAUGACUGUAGUAUAAUUGCUGGAGGGAACCUCACUGGUUGGCACCCCGACUCUGCUGCUGUGUUAUGGCGAAGAGUCUUGGGAAUCCUCGGGGAUGUGAAUAAUAUCCAGUCACCCAAGAUUCAUGCCAAAGUAUUUGGCUAUCUCUAUGAACUCUGGUACAAACUAGCAAAGAUACGGGAUAAUCUGGCAAUAAGCCUAGAUAACCAGUCCUCUCCCUCUCCACCGGUCCUGAUCCCACCACUCAGAAUGUUUGCAUCAUGGCUAUUUAAGGCAACAACGUUGCCAAAUGAAUAUAAGGAAGGCAAGCUACAAGCCUACAGACUGAUAUGUGCCAUGAUGACCAGACGCCAGGACGUUCUACCAAACUCGGACUUCCUGGUGCAUUUUUACCUUGUGAUGCACCUGGGAUUAACCAGCGAGGAUCAGGAUAUCUUAAACACCAUUAUAAGGCACUGUCCACCCCGCUUCUUCUCCUUGGGUUUGCCUGGCUUCUCAAUGCUGGUAGGGGACUUCAUCACAGCUGCUGCCAGGGUCCUCAGUACAGACACGCCAGCGACACCUCAUUCAGAAGCUCUCACCAUUCUCGGUUCUCUUGUCUGCUUUCCAAAUACCUACCGGGACAUCCCUUUACUACAGUCUGUGCCGGAAGUUAAGGAAGUUAUCACAGGAACCGAAGAUGUCAAGCAUUACCUCAUAAAUAUUUUACUGAAGAAUGCCACAGAGGAACCAAAUGAAUGUGCAAGAUGCAUUGCUAUUUGCUCCCUCGGAGUCUGGAUAUGCGAAGAACUUGCACAGUGUACAAGCCAUCCUCAGCUGAAAGAGGCUAUCAACGUGAUAGGUGUCACUUUGAAGUUUUCUAACAAAAUCGUGGCUCAGGUGGCCUGUGAUGUUCUUCAGUUGCUGGUUUCCUACUGGGAAAAGCUUCUGAUGUUUGAAACCUCUCUGCCUCGGAAAAUUGCUGAAAUCCUUGUGGCCACAAUUGCUUUUCUUUUACCAAGUGCAGAGUACUCCUCGGUGGAAACAGAUAAGAAGUUUAUUGUGUCCUUGCUACUCUGCCUUUUGGAUUGGUGCAUGGCAUUGCCAGUGAACACCCUUCUCCACCCAGUGUCCACGGUGGCCCUGGAGGAGCAGCAUGCAUCCAGAGCUCCUUUGCUGGAUUAUAUCUAUAGGGUCCUGCACUGCUGUGUUUGUGGCUCAAGCACAUACACCCAACAGAGUCACUAUACACUGACCCUAGCCGACCUGUCAUCCCCAGAUUAUGACCCCUUCUUACCACUGGCGAAUGUGAAGAAUUCAGAACCAGUCCAAUAUCAUGCAUCAGCAGAUUUGGGCAACCUGCUCACAGUUGAAGAAGAGCGGAAGAGGAGGAGCUUGGAGCUGAUCCCUCUGACCGCCCGCAUGGUGAUGGCCCACCUGGUGAAUCACCUGGGCCACUUCCCGCUGCGUGGGGGCCCUGCCGUGCUGCACAGCCUAGUCAGUGAAAACCACGACAACGUACAUGCGGAGGCUCCCGAGCUGUCCUCCGAGGUGUUCCGGAGCCCAAACCUACAGCUCUUUGUGCUUAACGACAGCACCCUCAUCUCCUACCUUCAGACACCCUCCGAAGGGCCUGCGGGGGGCUCCCCAGGGGGCACCCUGUCAGACGUCCGAGUAAUUGUGCGGGAUAUCUCAGGGAAGUACUCUUGGGAUGGGAGGGUUUUGUAUGGACCUUUGGAGGGCUGCUUAGCACCCAGCAGCACAAAUCCAGCGUUUCUGAUUUCGGGCUGGCAACCUCAAGCUUUGGGAGCUCAGAAAGAUUUUUCUCAAACUGAGGAGGGAGAUGAUGUCCUUGACAAAUUACUUGAAAACAUUGGCCACACGAGUCCGGAAUGCCUUUUACCAUCACAGUUAAAUCUAAAUGAGCCCUCCCCACCCCCUCGGGGAAUGAACCGUGACCAGGAGAAGGAAAUCAUCGAGGUCAUUUUGCGCCAGAAGGCCCAAGAAGAUGACUAUAUCCAGAGGUGUAACUCUGACUUGGCCAUGAAAGUCUCCAGCCAGGAGCAGCCCUCCCCAGUGGAGCCACCAGGACCCUUUUAUUUCUGCAGGUUGUUGCUUGAUGACUUGGGGAUGAAUUCUUGGGACAGAAGAAAGAAUUUCCAUCUUUUGAAGAAAAAUUCAAAACUAUUGAGAGAGCUAAAAAAUCUGGACUCACGUCAGUGCCGUGAAACGCACAAAAUUGCAGUGUUUUACAUUGCUGAAGGUCAAGAAGACAAGUGUUCAAUCCUUUCCAAUGAUAGAGGAAGCCAAGCAUAUGAAGACUUUGUUGCCGGACUUGGAUGGGAGGUGGAUCUCUCAACCCACUGCGGGUUCAUGGGUGGACUUCAGCGCAACGGCAGCACAGGGCAGACUGCCCCUUACUAUGCUACCUCGACUGUGGAAGUGAUUUUCCAUGUUUCAACUCGGAUGCCAUCAGACUCAGAUGAUUCACUCACCAAAAAGCUCCGUCACUUGGGGAACGACGAGGUCCACAUCGUCUGGUCUGAACACUCCAGGGAUUACCGCAGGGGCAUUAUCCCGACCGCCUUUGGAGACGUUUCAAUCAUUAUUUACCCAGUGAAGAAUCACAUGUUCUUUAUCGCAAUCACAAAGAAACCUGAGGUUCCGUUUUUUGGGCCUCUGUUUGACGGAGCCAUAGUGAGUGGGAAGCUCCUGCCAAGCCUUAUAUGUGCCACGUGCAUCAAUGCCAGCAGGGCCGUGAAGUGCCUCAUCCCACUCUACCAGAGCUUCUAUGAAGAGCGGGCUCUGUACCUUGAAGCAAUAAUUCAGAACCACCGAGAAAUCAUGACGUUUGAGGAUUUCGCCGCCCAAGUCUUUUCUCCCUCGCCCAGCCCCUCCCUCAGCGGAAUGGAACUGCUUUAAAGGUUGUGUCUGGACCCUAAAACCUUGGAGGAAUCCACUUGUGUCUGCUGAUAAAUGAAUCCCCAAAUCACUAUUACAGUCACAGCUAGCAAUUUGGUAGUAGAGGACUACAGAUUAAAAUAUGAGAAGUCCUCAUUGCAAUGUUGGAGCAAGGGCCUUGGCUGCCAGCCUGAGUGGCUACCUCACAGCGCCUCUUGGAAGGAGGAGAUGAAUGAGACUCCCCUCUGUUCCCACCCUCAACCCCCAAACACAGAGACUCCGGGAACAUCCCUGCUCUGCUAGUGCCCUCAACAUAGCUUCCCAGUAACGGAUUUCUGAAGUUAAAGGUGAACUCCACCAGAAUGUCUUGGGUUGGACUUUCUCUCCAGGCCACGUCAUCUGACCCUAGAAUCUCACACAACUUGGGCUUCCAAAGAGGAAGAGGGGAAAGUCACCAACAACCAGUGACAAACCCACUCUCAUGUUGAUGAGAGUGUUGAUGUGGCUGCUUCAGGCAGGGAUGGCAGAAGAAGAUUCUGGGCUUUUGGGAGGGGAUGGAGGGCAGCUGGUUUCUGUACCCCGCGUUGUUUAUAAACCUAAGCAAGAUUCACAGAAGAACCGACAAAAACAGUUGUUAAACUGAGGAAUUUUCUCUGCAUUGAUUUCUUUAGUUCUUAUGUUAGGAUUUAUGGUUUACUCAAAAAUUUCAUCAUCAUGGAAAUUGGCUUUCCCUAGAGUUGUUUGCCCAGGAGAAGUUUUAUCUGAGUUGCUGAGUGUUUUCCACCUGGUGCCUGAUGCCCACUAACUGGGGAGAGGUUUUCCUGGCCAUCCUGGAAGCCCUAGAUGCCUCUGGAAACAGGGUCCUGUCCCCGUGAAAGUCAGGAAGCUUCCAGGGCCCAGCUUAGCACAGCGCCAUGUCAACACGGGAGGUGCACACCAGCACAGGCCCUAGGCUGGGACAGGCACCCCCGUGGUGUCCAUCUGCCUCCAGAAGCUUCUCCCUGCUCAGGGAGGGCCACGGCACAAAUGGGGGAUUUCUAAUUAUUUGGCUCCAAAGAAGAUAUGUUGAGCCUGUUUAAAAAAAAAAAGAAGAAGAAGAAGAUAUGAAAAGCCCUACCUUCCAUCUGUGCUUGCCCAGCAUCCUUGCUGUGGCUCUGAGGGUGUCAGCAACAGAAAAAUCAUUUAGGAAGACCUGUUUGGCCCUCUGUGUCUCACCUCAGCCUGCAGCCUGUCUCUGGAGUAAGCCCGUAUUUCAGAGCAUGGGGCAACCGCUAAGGACCCCAGAAACAUCAGUCCAUGCAAGGGUGCCUGCCCUCUACUGUCUGCCUCUCUGCUCUGUGCCCACUUGUGUGUUACCCCCAGGGGCUUUGGUCACCUCUGGUGAGUCUCCUGAGCCCCCUCAGCGCAUCAGAGUGGCUGUUUUCACUGACCAGCCAGUUCUUUCCAUCAUCCAUUGGGUUGGUUUGGCUGGUACCUAACACUUGCAGGAGAAAUGAACAGAUCCAGGAAGGAGCCAGGCCUGCUUCUGGGAACAAGUGAAGAAGGACUGAGAAAUUCCUAUUGCAAGGAUACACCUAAGUUAGAAUUUGUUUCUCAGCUUUAUAGAGGACUGCAGGUAGGGCCAGAGGCCCAGGCUCACAGGCAGAGCAGCUUGGGAGCCACCCAAACCUCAGAGAAACAGAAGUAAGCCUUAGUCGCUUUGGGCUGUUCUGUAAAGGGGCCCAGUUGGUUUGCUCACUGGGGGCUUAAUGGCACUAAUGGGUGACUGAAUGUCACAGCAUGUUCUGUUGUGUCAGCAAAUGCUGCAAUUCUCAUCUUCCCCACCCCUACCCCACCCGCCCAUCCCCACCUUUUUAAUAAUUUGGACUUUCUGGUCAGCACGGUUUGCCUCCUAUCGCUCAUACUCCAGGCUGGUGUUCAAGCUGCUUCACGGCAUAUUUACAAAGUGCCCAGACCUCAUUCCUGUGGGGAGGGCAUCACAGGUGCCUGGGCCCCAGAGUCCCAGGUAGGCUCUGACAGCAGAUAGCUUCAGAAUAUUUCAUUUCCAGGCUCUAGAAAUCCCUGAUGCAGAAUUCUUGGAUUUAGAUGAAGUGUCAAGACUUAGAAGUUGUACUGAACUCCCCUGGACUUAAUUGUUGUGCUCCAGGAUUCCAUUUUAUCUCCCAGACCCAGUCCUUCUAACCUGCAAGUGGGAAGUUCAGUUGUAGGCAGCAAAUACCUAGACCCUCCUGUAACCCUACAGAUUUUAACAUCUCUAGGACCCCAGACUCCAGCCAGUGGUUUGGGUGCUGGAGCUGCUUCAAGUCCACUGUCAGCAGUAGCAUUGGUUUGGAAUAGGGGAGCAGGGAAUCUAGCAACCAGGUUUGCUUACAAUCACAUGGACCUGAAUCGUUCUUGUUAUUUGGGGUGGAAAAUUGAAAUGAUCAAGUUCUUUUUUUUCCACUUAGAAAAGCAAAUAUUGUGCUUUUGCAAUAAAUGCCUUUCCAGCAAAAUUAUGGAGGGUCACUUAUCCAGUGGGGACCCAUCUGAGUCACAGUGCUGACUUGUCAUAUUAGUAGGUCAGCCAUCUGGACUCAAAAGUGGCCCUGAUCAGCCCCCAAAAUGGGUAGGACUCGCCAGCUCCCAGGCAGGGCCAGGCCAGCAUCCCCACUUCUCUGCACACCCAUUUCCAUCCAAAGCAAAGUUGAUGUUCCAUAAUUUCACUGAGAAGGUUUUUGUACUUUUAAAAAAACAAAAUGAUGACUUUUUUAAAAUAGUAGAAUCUGAAGUAGACAGUAGUGAGGAAAUUUAGCUUGGAUCAGUGACUGUCACAGUGUCUUCAAGCAGUCAAGGCUGCAGCCACUAAGAGCCACAGGGAGGAAGGAGAUUUAAGCCUUGCCUUCACAAGAGGGGCUGACCAAACCCUCAUCCUUACAAACAAGAGACCAUGCAGAUCCACAGACUGUGCAAAUCACGUCUUCCUGACCUUCCUCCGGUGUGGCCACCUGCACUUCACUUCCUGUUGUGUUUGUAUCAUCUGGAGGCUUAAGGGAUCCUUUAAAACUUCCUGUGACGUCUUAUAUGUAACCGUGUCAUGACUAUAUCUACUGAGGGGAAAUGUCCACACACAGAGGGAAGUGCAACAUGAAACAACCACUGUUCUAGCUGCCCUCCGUAUCUGUGUAUGACAUGCACAGUAAGUGAAUGUUUUCUUAUGGCUUCAGGUCUACAACAUUUAGUACAUGUAAAUAAGGAAAAAGAAUUGAUACCUAUGGUAUAUUAAGUUAUAGUAUGUCAUAUUUUUUUUUUGCUCUUAUUUAAUUUGCCUAAUGCCUCACAUCUGGGUUUAGGCCUCAGUGGGGUAAACCCCUCCAUACAACCUACUUCUGCAGGUGUGUGUGCCACACCCGGAAAAGCACACAGCUACACUGCUGACUGCCGCUCGACUCUCCAGUUUACCCUCUUUUUCUCUUUCAUUCUGAUUUACUGUGAUGACUUAAUAAAGUAGAAAAACAGCA
This is an RNA transcript of Canis lupus familiaris (dog), 9364 nucleotides long. It is a transcript of the gene named Ral GTPase activating protein catalytic subunit alpha 2, with no coding region annotated. NCBI's taxonomy places the organism in Eukaryota, Metazoa, Chordata, Mammalia, Carnivora, Canidae. The record is from RefSeq and is a predicted model, not a curated record. The transcript has 42 exons.